CGACAAUGUGUAUUCUUUGAUAUGAGACUAGUUCCUCUCUGCAACAUCGUUGCCAUCCUAUCAACAAAAUUAAUCAUUUUUCUAGUUGAUGAGAGGGAGAAAUUUUUCUUGAUUGAUGAGUUCGGCCGAUUUGAGGUAGGGGUUGGUUCCAUAGUGAACAAAUUGAAUUUUAUUGUUGUUGCCGAGUUUAAUGCUGCUGGAUUACUAUAGUUGAACAGUGGGCUCGAGUUGAAUGAUGCUGGAUGAGAAGAAAUCCAAGGUUGUUCCUGGUGCGGCACCAGCAAUGGAAAGAAAUGGUGAAGUUCUGGCUACUCUGUUGCGGGUUGUUCUCUGUUGCUGUUGGUGACACAAUGCCAUCAAUACCGGGUCCUUCCUCCUCCCCGGCCUUCCUAUAUUUUGUUUACAAGUCAAAAACUUCCUACCAAUUCAUAAUAACUAAGAUUGAAAAUAGUUUUUUCGUUUAAGGGAAAUAUUGUUCCAACCAAAUACCCUUUCAAUCACUCCACCUUUUUUUUUUCAGAAAUGACAGUUUGAAUAUUAAAAGUAU
Long non-coding RNA from Juglans microcarpa x Juglans regia, 547 nucleotides. RefSeq lists it as uncharacterized. The record is from RefSeq and is a predicted model, not a curated record. Lineage: Eukaryota; Viridiplantae; Streptophyta; Magnoliopsida; Fagales; Juglandaceae. The transcript is spliced from 2 exons.